This 443-nucleotide ribosomal RNA is filed under the name uncultured bacterium. RNAcentral describes it as "partial 16S ribosomal RNA". It matches the Rfam family "Bacterial small subunit ribosomal RNA", at positions 338 to 795 of the family's 1533-position model. The record is from RNAcentral.
CCUACGGGUGGCAGCAGUGGGGAAUAUUGGGCAAUGGGCGCAAGCCUGACCUAGCAACGCCGCGUGAAGGAAGAAGGCUUUCGGGUUGUAAACUUCUUUUCUCAGGGACGAAGCAAGUGACGGUACCUGAGGAAUAAGCCACGGCUAACUACGUGCCAGCAGCCGCGGUAAUACGAAGGUGGCAAGCGUUAUCCGGAUUUACUGGGUGUAAAGGGCGUGUAGGCGGGAAAGCAAGUCAGAUGUGAAAACCAUGGGCUCAACCUGUGGCCUGCAUUUGAAACUGUUUUUCUUGAGUACUGGAGAGGCAGACGGAAUUCCUAGUGUAGCGGUGAAAUGCGUAGAGAUUAGGAGGAACACCAGUGGCGAAGGCGGUCUGCUGGACAGCAACUGACGCUGAGGCGCGAAAGCGUGGGGAGCAAACAGGAUUAGAUACCCCUGUAGUC